RNAcentral lists this ribosomal RNA (257 nucleotides) under uncultured eukaryote. Its description in RNAcentral is "partial 18S ribosomal RNA". It matches the Rfam family "Eukaryotic small subunit ribosomal RNA", at positions 6 to 281 of the family's 1831-position model. The record is from RNAcentral.
GGUUGAUCCUGCCAGUAGUCAUAUGCUUGUCUCAAAGAUUAAGCCAUGCAUGUCUAAGUAUAAACUGCUUAUACUGUGAAACUGCGAAUGGCUCAUUAAAUCAGUUAUAGUUUAUUUGAUGGUACCAACUACUCGGAUAACCGUAAGCGAGGAUUAUUGCGGUAGGGAGACGAAAGUCGUCCCUAGUGGCCCAUGCGGCUGCGACACUGUCAAAUUGCCUGGACAUCCUGCCAUGCCGAGGGGACCGUCUGCCUGGG